AUCACCGUUUUCUUCUCUAUAGGUUGACCAAAGAAAAACACCCGACCACAACGUGAGUCGGAGGAGCCGCCGCACCGGAGAGUCCCGCCGCCGGUGAGUUUCAGUUUUCUAUAUUUUUUCAGCCAACUGAGGGCCCUAAGUGUGUUUUCUCGUAGGAACUGAUGCAAAUUUGGCUGAAUUCGACUGAAAACAACCAACCUGAGGUGGAUCGCCACUACAAGCGGCAACGCCGUCGCCUGAGCACGACGGAGCCGCCAUGCCGGA
RNAcentral lists this long non-coding RNA (264 nucleotides) under Carica papaya (papaya). Its description in RNAcentral is "long non-coding RNA (CPAP_LNC002130)". Lineage: Eukaryota; Viridiplantae; Streptophyta; Magnoliopsida; Brassicales; Caricaceae. The record is from RNAcentral.